GGUAGGCAACACAGGAAUGUUAUAGUACUCUGUCUUUACAAAGUUUAAAAUACCUUGAAUUUCUUUUAAAAUAAAAAUAAAACAUGAUCAUUAUGGGAAAAGGUAGACAAUAAUUUCUGGUGAAGUGAACCCAAACUAUUAGCUCUACUUUCUUCUCACUAGAAAAACACUACAAUUAUAUUAAGGGAAGAAGAAAGAUAAAAAUCGACAGGGGCAAAGAGAUUAGGUGAGGAGACAGCACCAACAAUGACAACUUAUGUUUAGAAGAUGGAAAAAUAAAUGAAUAAAUGAUAACUGGCAGAACAAAGAAAGCUGAUAGCAAGUGACUGCCGAAGAUGUCACCACAGGAUGAUUUGGGCAGCAGAGCCCCAGGAGAGCUCAGGAAGAAAAGGCACCAAGAACCUCAGAAACAAGAAGUACAGCUAAAAACAGGAGAACUGGGUACAAGCCCUGUCCAUGUACACUUCUGAUAAUCAUUUUUACUGAAUUUUAAUAUGAACAGAUAACCAAAGACGUUUGGGAGAAAGCCCUAGCGUGAAAGAGAGGAAAAAUUGCAAAGGGCCGGGGUUGUGGCUCAGUGGUAGCGCACUCGUCUGGCAUGUGUGAGGCACUGGGUCUGAUCCUCAGCACCACAUGAAGAUAAGUAAAUAAAGUAAAGGUAGUGUCCAUCUACAACUAAAAACAUAUUUUUAAAAAAUGCAAAGUAAAGAAACCGUAAGACUUGUAGGAAGUAGAGACAAUGCAGAUAACAGAAGAAAACUACUUAACAGCACUUUCCGUCCCCUGCUCCUUCCACUCUGGUCUCCAUAGCUAGUUAGUUCCCACGUUCCAUAGGAUGAGUCAUGUGUGCAUUAUAAGCUCUUUUUUAUCCCUGUACAUUUUUGUGUGGAGUUAAUGACAUGUAUUUUGUUGAUUCUUUAAUUUUCUGUGUAUCUAUCACAAAUGUAACUGUCCUCUAGCUGUUCAGACACCUUGGGAAUUUGCUCAGUUUCCUCUUUUGGAGAAAUCUCCCUGGACCUGCUGGCCUGGUCCCGCUGGGGCUGCUGUGUAAGCUGUCCUCUUGGGAUCCCUCCUUCCUCUCCUGCUCUCUCCUGUGUUGGGUUCUUGUUUCUUAAUUGCUGUGUCUUCCUUCCUUAGUUUAUGUCCUACUUUUGAUGGCUCACACUCUUCUGGAACAUGUGUCCAUCUGUUUUCUAACUCCCAGAAACAUGUUCCUGCUUCUCCUGUUCUCUUUGUUCUUGUGGACCUAUACCUAGAGAAAAUUCUUCUUCUUUUCUUUAAUGGUUUAAGGGUACUAGGAGACAGCAAUGCAAAAUACAUGUGUUUCAUUGACCUUCUUUAUUUACAAUCUAAUUUCAUUUCAGAACUCAUCACUAUGGCAUUAGUGUAUAGUUUAGGUUUGGAGUUGGGCCAAUGUUGUAGGCUGGGAGAUCCAUGGAAGGCUGUUCAAAUAAUUCCAAAAAGAGACGAUGAUGGUCAAGGUGUGGGCGAUGAGGUGGAGAGAGGAUGGAUUUUUCAGAGAAUGGUGUACAUUCUACUGCUCAGCACCUGAGGUUAUUUUAGGUGCUUCAUAGAUCAAUCCAUAGAUAGAUAAUCUCUAUUUUUUUACUACUUGUGCAUUUAUAUUUUGUGUUACAAAUAUAUAUGACUAGCAUAUCAAACUUGUGGUUUCCCAGAAGGUUUUUCAAAGUUGAAGCUAAAAUAGCUACUUGAGUUUUUAAAAGAAAGUUAAUUAAAAGUAGUAAGUAACUUUUGUCCUGGGGCAGUGUAUUUAGAGAACUGUUGGUGGGGACCUGGCUGGACAGUUGCUGGCUUCACCCCAUCAGUCCUCCCAGCAACAGCCAGAGCCUCUCCCCCGCUUCCUGCCACCUGUCCACUCUUUCUUUGCACAGUGUUUGCACCGAGUCUCAUCCUCCUUUGUCUUGCUCUUAAAUUUCUCAGUCUCGCAAUGUGUGAACAGCUUCCUCUCACCAUCUCCUCAAUCCUGGCUUUUGCAGUCUUGUGCUCGAUACGAGAUUUUGGAGUUCCUAAUGGCAUUUUAUUUUUUAUUUUUUAAUUUUUAAA
Molecule: long non-coding RNA, 2064 nt
Filed under: Marmota monax (woodchuck)
Lineage: Eukaryota; Metazoa; Chordata; Mammalia; Rodentia; Sciuridae
Source: RNAcentral